This 433-nucleotide ribosomal RNA is filed under the name uncultured bacterium. RNAcentral's name for it is "partial 16S ribosomal RNA". It matches the Rfam family "Bacterial small subunit ribosomal RNA", at positions 29 to 507 of the family's 1533-position model. The record is from RNAcentral.
AACGAACGCUGGCGGCAUGCCUAACACAUGCAAGUCGAACGAGACCUUCGGGUCUAGUGGCGCACGGGUGCGUAACGCGUGGGAACCUGCCCUUAGGUUCGGAAUAACUCCCCGAAAGGGGUGCUAAUACCGGAUAAUGUCUUCGGACCCAAGAUUUAUCGCCUUUGGAUGGGCCCGCGUUGGAUUAGCUAGUUGGUAGGGUAAAAGCCUACCAAGGCGACGAUCCAUAGCUGGUCUGAGAGGAUGAUCAGCGACACUGGGACUGAGACACGGCCCAGACUCCUACGGGAAGCAGCAGUGGGGAAUAUUGGACAAUGGGCGAAGGGCUGAUCCAGCAAUGCCGGGUGAGUGAUGAAGGCGUUAGGGUUGUAAAGCUCGUUUACCCGGGAUGAUAAUGACAGUACCGGGAGAAUAAGCUCCGGCUAACUCCGUG